This 408-nucleotide long non-coding RNA is filed under the name Callithrix jacchus (white-tufted-ear marmoset). RNAcentral's name for it is "lncRNA (ENSCJAG00000084876.1)". The record is from RNAcentral. Lineage: Eukaryota; Metazoa; Chordata; Mammalia; Primates; Cebidae.
AAAAAGGGCAUGGCUACUUUCUUUGACAACACUUCCUGAAAUUUGCACAAACAACUUCUGCUUUUCCCUCAUCAGGAGUAACAUGGUCAUAUGAUGGCACCCAGUUACAGUGGAAACCAGGAAAUAUAGUUUUUAUCCUGGGCAGCCAAAUUUGCGGAUUCAGUUGCUAAACGAAGAAGAGGGGCAUGGACAAGGAAAGCCAGUCAUCAGUCUUUGCCACACAAAUAAGAAGCUUUGAAGAAAACCACCCUUUUAUGCUUGACCAAAAAAGUAUUGCUUUUCUACAGAUUUGAACUCUAAACUCAAUUUCUGACUUCAAGGUAUGUACAAAUGAAUAAAUGUUAACGGUGACAGUUUUCAUUGGAUUAGAAACUGUCUUGUAUUGGUUUAGGCUUUCAUAACAAAAUA